RNAcentral lists this transfer RNA (74 nucleotides) under Planctomycetia bacterium. Its description in RNAcentral is "tRNA-Val". It matches the Rfam family "tRNA". Rfam says of the family: Transfer RNA (tRNA) molecules are approximately 80 nucleotides in length. Their secondary structure includes four short double-helical elements and three loops (D, anti-codon, and T loops). Lineage: Bacteria; Pseudomonadati; Planctomycetota; Planctomycetia. The record is from RNAcentral.
GGGCGUUUAGCUCAGUUGGUUAGAGCGCUAUGCUCACACCGUAGAGGUCGCUGGUUCGAGUCCAGCAACGCCCA